This 122-nucleotide ribosomal RNA is filed under the name Paenibacillus agri. Its description in RNAcentral is "Paenibacillus sp. JW14 partial 23S ribosomal RNA". It matches the Rfam family "Bacterial large subunit ribosomal RNA", at positions 2800 to 2925 of the family's 2925-position model. Lineage: Bacteria; Bacillati; Bacillota; Bacilli; Caryophanales; Paenibacillaceae. The record is from RNAcentral.
CAAGAUGAGAUUUCCCAAUUAGUAAGACCCCUUGAAGACGACGAGGUAGAUAGGUUGGAGGUGGAAGUGCAGUAAUGCAUGGAGCUGACCAAUACUAAUCGGUCGAGGGCUUAUCCUAAAAC